Salmo salar (Atlantic salmon) is the source of this 1036-nucleotide non-coding RNA. The record is from RefSeq and is a predicted model, not a curated record. Lineage: Eukaryota; Metazoa; Chordata; Actinopteri; Salmoniformes; Salmonidae.
ACCAAUUGUCUUAUUUUAAUAACUUCUGAUUCAGUACAUUUUCAGUGGUGGAAGAGACCCUCCAGAGUUGCUGCAGUGUGUGUUCUACUGGCUGUCAUCAUAGGCCUGUGGGAUUCCUAUGCAGAAAGAGACCAGCUACAGACCAGUUACAACACCCUGACUGAAGAGAGAGACCAGCUACAGAAUAGUCUAAAUACCAGGACCACUGAGAGAGACCAGUUACAGACCAGGCUUUGGUUCUAUGAGAAACCCUGUCUGGAUGGAUGGUGGAAGUUUGGCACCAGCUGUUACUUUGUCUCCUCCACGAUGGACACAGGUGGGGGAGGUCAGAAGGCAUGCAGAGCAAUGGGUGCAGAUGAUGUUAUUAUAAACAGCAGAGAAGAACAGAUAUUUAUCCAUGGAUUUAAGAAGAAUGUCUGGAUUGGUACAUAUAAAAAAGACGGAAUCUGGGAGUGGAUUGGCAUAACACUAUUUAAACCUACCUAUUGGAUGGAAGGGGAACCAAAUAACAUGCAUGACGAGUGUGUUGAGAUCUCACAGACGGCAUCAGACCCAUUGAAGAGUUGGAAGUUUGCACCAUGUGCUAUUCCAAAAUACUGGGUGUGUGAAAAACCGUUCACCCCGUAGUCUAAUUAUAAUAGCUAAAUGUAAUUCCCUAUCUUAUAGAGUUGAACUGGUUUUCCCUGUGUUAGGCUGAACCUGUUUUUGUUUCUAUUUGUAACUACAUUGAAAGACGUAUUUGAUGUCUUUAAAGAGACCAUGUCUAUGUGGAGUUUGUCCACCAUUCAUCAGGCCCUGGGGAGUGGAACUGUGGUCUAGUUGGCUCUAACUCUGGUUAAUAAAAAAAUGUCUUUACCAUAUUUACAAUUUUUACCAUUAUGGUGUGCACAUAACAAGUUAACAAGAUACUGUUUUCAUUGAAGUUUUUACAGCUAUCAAUACAUUUCAAAUGCAGCAGUGUUCUAUGUUUGCUUCCAUUCUGUUCCAUAUGUACCAUGUGUUCAUUCUACUGAUUAAAUACAUCUAUAUACUGUGA